UUUUUUUAAAGAAAAAAACAGAGAGCCGCCAGACCCAGGCUGCCGCCGCAACACCACAACCGACGCGGCGCUGACUGUACUGCUACGUAGCGUAUCUGCCGUAUGCUGCUACAGUGAAAAAACUAAUUUUUUAAAAAAUUCUCGUCACUUUGAAUCUUACGGUAUAGAGUAUUUAAAUAUAGAUAAAAACAAAAAACUAAUUAAACAAUUUAUCUGUAAAUUGUGAAAUAAAUCUUUUGAGUUUACUUAGUCUAUGAUUAAAUAAUAUUUACUAAAUAAAAAUGAAAUUGCUACUGUACCUAAAAACAAAAAAAAUUGGAAAGUAAACAUAGUUCACCCCAAAAAUCCAAAACUUUUUAAAAUUCUCCGUCACAUCGAAUCUUGCAGCACAUAUAUAAAGUAAAUAUAGAUGAAAACAAAAACUAAUUACACAGUUUGCAUAUAAAUCUCGAGACGAAUCUUUUGAGUUUAGUUAGUCUAUAGUUAGAUAAUAUUUACUAAAUAAAAAUGAAAUUGCUACUGUACCUAAAAACAAAAAAUUCUAGAAAAAAACAAGGCCUGAGUAUUUUAUUCUAAAACAAGUGUUUCCACUAUUGCGUGUCCACGUGCUAGGGAUUGCAACUUUUUGAGUAUAAAAAAAAUGGUUUUGCUAGCGCCCGGACGUUCGGCGCGUGAGUGUGUCCGGACGCCGGGCCUUCCCCCCGCUCGCCUCCCAUAUGGAAAAGAAAAAAGGAAAAAUAGAUAUGCUAAGCCGAUUCUAUCCGUCCCCACGACCCUUUUCUCCACUCAUCGUGCAAGACUUGCCCCGCCUCCUACGUGCACGAGAUCUACUUGCCUCCAACCUCGCCGCCUCUCUAAGCCGAUCCCGUCCGUCCCCGCGUCCCUUUCCUCCACUCCCCAUGCAACGACUCAC
RNAcentral lists this long non-coding RNA (913 nucleotides) under Sorghum bicolor (sorghum). RNAcentral's name for it is "long non-coding RNA (SBIC_LNC011515)". Lineage: Eukaryota; Viridiplantae; Streptophyta; Magnoliopsida; Poales; Poaceae. The record is from RNAcentral.